RNAcentral lists this small RNA (101 nucleotides) under Mytilus galloprovincialis (Mediterranean mussel). The record is from RNAcentral. Lineage: Eukaryota; Metazoa; Mollusca; Bivalvia; Mytilida; Mytilidae.
GGUUAGGGUUAGGUUAGGGUUAGGGUUAGGUUAGGUAGGGUUAGGGUUAGGCCAACCCUAACCCUAACCCUAACCCUUAACCCUAACCCUAACCCUAACCC